RNAcentral lists this ribosomal RNA (497 nucleotides) under uncultured bacterium. RNAcentral's name for it is "partial 16S ribosomal RNA". It matches the Rfam family "Bacterial small subunit ribosomal RNA", at positions 28 to 507 of the family's 1533-position model. The record is from RNAcentral.
GAUGAACGCUGGCGGCGUGCCUAAUACAUGCAAGUCGAGCGAACAGACGAGGAGCUUGCUCCUCUGACGUUAGCGGCGGACGGGUGAGUAACACGUGGAUAACCUACCUAUAAGACUGGGAUAACUUCGGGAAACCGGAGCUAAUACCGGAUAAUAUAUUGAACCGCAUGGUUCAAUAGUGAAAGACGGUUUUGCUGUCACUUAUAGAUGGAUCCGCGCCGCAUUAGCUAGUUGGUAAGGUAACGGCUUACCAAGGCAACGAUGCGUAGCCGACCUGAGAGGGUGAUCGGCCACACUGGAACUGAGACACGGUCCAGACUCCUACGGGAGGCAGCAGUAGGGAAUCUUCCGCAAUGGGCCGAAGCCUGACGGAGCAACGCCGCGUGAGUGAUGAAGGUCUUCGGAUCGUAAAACUCUGUUAUUAGGGAAGAACAAAUGUGUAAGUAACUAUGCACGUCUUGACGGUACCUAAUCAGAAAGCCACGGCUAACUACGUG